Molecule: ribosomal RNA, 253 nt
Filed under: uncultured bacterium
Lineage: Bacteria
Description: partial 16S ribosomal RNA
Rfam family: Bacterial small subunit ribosomal RNA
Source: RNAcentral
UACGUAGGUCCCGAGCGUUAUCCGGAAUUACUGGGCGUAAAGAGUUCGUAGGCGGUACGUUAAGUUCGGCAUGAAAGACCGGGGCUCAACCCCGAGUUUGUGCCGGAUACUGGCGAACUAGAAUCCGGGAGAGGUUGGCAGAAUGGUACGAGUAGGGGUGCAAUCCGUUGAUACGUACUGGAAUACCAAAAGCGAAGGCAGCCAACUGGAACGGUAUUGACGCUGAGGAACGAAAGCGUGGGGAGCGAAAAGG